RNAcentral lists this ribosomal RNA (1343 nucleotides) under uncultured bacterium. RNAcentral's name for it is "16S ribosomal RNA". It matches the Rfam family "Bacterial small subunit ribosomal RNA", at positions 28 to 1378 of the family's 1533-position model. The record is from RNAcentral.
GACGAACGCUGGCGGCGUGCUUAACACAUGCAAGUCGAACGGAAAGGCCCUGCUUUUGUGGGGUGCUCGAGUGGCGAACGGGUGAGUAACACGUGAGUAACCUGCCCUUGACUUUGGGAUAACUUCAGGAAACGGGGGCUAAUACCGGAUAGGAGCUCCUGCUGCAUGGUGGGGGUUGGAAAGUUUCGGCGGUUGGGGAUGGACUCGCGGCUUAUCAGCUUGUUGGUGGGGUAGUGGCUUACCAAGGCUUUGACGGGUAGCCGGCCUGAGAGGGUGACCGGCCACAUUGGGACUGAGAUACGGCCCAGACUCCUACGGGAGGCAGCAGUGGGGAAUAUUGCACAAUGGGCGGAAGCCUGAUGCAGCAACGCCGCGUGCGGGAUGACGGCCUUCGGGUUGUAAACCGCUUUCGCCUGUGACGAAGCGUGAGUGACGGUAAUGGGUAAAGAAGCACCGGCUAACUACGUGCCAGCAGCCGCGGUGAUACGUAGGGUGCGAGCGUUGUCCGGAUUUAUUGGGCGUAAAGGGCUCGUAGGUGGUUGAUCGCGUCGGAAGUGUAAUCUUGGGGCUUAACCCUGAGCGUGCUUUCGAUACGGGUUGACUUGAGGAAGGUAGGGGAGAAUGGAAUUCCUGGUGGAGCGGUGGAAUGCGCAGAUAUCAGGAGGAACACCAGUGGCGAAGGCGGUUCUCUGGGCCUUUCCUGACGCUGAGGAGCGAAAGCGUGGGGAGCGAACAGGCUUAGAUACCCUGGUAGUCCACGCUGUAAACGGUGGGUACUAGGUGUGGGGUCCAUUCCACGGGUUCCGUGCCGUAGCUAACGCUUUAAGUACCCCGCCUGGGGAGUACGGCCGCAAGGCUAAAACUCAAAGGAAUUGACGGGGCCCCGCACAAGCGGCGGAGCAUGCGGAUUAAUUCGAUGCAACGCGUAGAACCUUACCUGGGUUUGACAUGGAUCGGGAGCGCUCAGAGAUGGGUGUGCCUCUUUUGGGGUCGGUUCACAGGUGGUGCAUGGCUGUCGUCAGCUCGUGUCGUGAGAUGUUGGGUUAAGUCCCGCAACGAGCGCAACCCUUGUUCACUGUUGCCAGCACGUUAUGGUGGGGACUCAGUGGAGACCGCCGGGGUCAACUCGGAGGAAGGUGGGGAUGACGUCAAGUCAUCAUGCCCCUUAUGUCCAGGGCUUCACGCAUGCUACAAUGGCUGGUACAGAGAGUGGCGAGCCUGUGAGGGUGAGCGAAUCUCGGAAAGCCGGUCUCAGUUCGGAUUGGGGUCUGCAACUCGACCUCAUGAAGUCGGAGUCGCUAGUAAUCGCAGAUCAGCAACGCUGCGGUGAAUACGUUCCCGGG